UGCGCAGGUGGGGAUGUAAGUCAGUGGUGAAAUGUUGUCGCUCAACGGUAAAAUUGCCAUUGAUACUGCAUCUCUUGAGUAUGGUUGAGGUAGGCGGAAUGUGUUGUGUAGCGGUGAAAUGCAUAGAUAUGACACAGAACACCGAUUGCGAAGGCAGCUUACUAAGCCAUUACUGACGCUGAGGCACGAAAGCGUGGGUAGCGAACAGGAUUAGAUACCCUGGUAGUCC
RNAcentral lists this ribosomal RNA (229 nucleotides) under uncultured bacterium. RNAcentral's name for it is "partial 16S ribosomal RNA". It matches the Rfam family "Bacterial small subunit ribosomal RNA", at positions 568 to 796 of the family's 1533-position model. The record is from RNAcentral.